RNAcentral lists this ribosomal RNA (322 nucleotides) under uncultured Bacillota bacterium. RNAcentral describes it as "bacterial SSU rRNA". It matches the Rfam family "Bacterial small subunit ribosomal RNA", at positions 28 to 351 of the family's 1533-position model. Lineage: Bacteria; Bacillati; Bacillota. The record is from RNAcentral.
GACGAACGCUGGCGGCGUGCCUAACACAUGCAAGUCGAGCGGGGAACCCCUUCGGGGGUUUUCAGCGGCGGACGGGUGAGUAACGCGUGAGCAACCUUUCCUUCACAGGGGGAUAACGCAGCGAAAGCUGUGCUAAUACCGCAUGAGACCACGGUGCUGCAUGGCACAGGGGUCAAAGGAGAAAUCCAGUGAAGGGUGGGCUCGCGUCUGAUUAGCUAGUUGGCGGGGUAACGGCCCACCAAGGUAUCGAUCAGUAGCCGACCUGAGAGGGUGAUCGGCCACACUGGGACUGAGACACGGCCCAGACUCCUACGGGUGGCUG